GUGUCAGCAGCCGCGGUAAUACGGAGGGGGUUAGCGUUGUUCGGAAUUACUGGGCGUAAAGCGUACGUAGGCGGAUUAGUCAGUUAGGGGUGAAAUCCCAGGGCUCAACCCUGGAACUGCCUCUAAUACUGCUAGUCUUGAGUUCGAGAGAGGUGAGUGGAAUUCCGAGUGUAGAGGUGAAAUUCGUAGAUAUUCGGAGGAACAUCAGUGGCGAAGGCGGCUCACUGGCUCGAUACUGACGCUGAGGUACGAAAGUGUGGGGAGCAAACAGGAUUAGAUACCCUGGUAGUCCACACCGUAAACGAUGAAUGCCAGACGUCGGGUAGCAUGCUAUUCGGUGUCACACCUAACGGAUUAAGCAUUCCGCCUGGGGAGUACGGUCGCAAGAUUAAAACUUAAAUGAAUUGACGGGG
Molecule: ribosomal RNA, 413 nt
Filed under: uncultured bacterium
Lineage: Bacteria
Description: bacterial SSU rRNA
Rfam family: Bacterial small subunit ribosomal RNA
Source: RNAcentral